UACGGAGGGAGCUAGCGUUGUUCGGAAUUACUGGGCGUAAAGCGCACGUAGGCGGUUAUUCAAGUCAGAGGUGAAAGCCCGGAGCUCAACUCCGGAAUUGCCUUUGAAACUAGAUAACUUGAAUCACGGAGAGGUGGGUGGAAUUCCGAGUGUAGAGGUGAAAUUCGUAGAUAUUCGGAAGAACACCAGUGGCGAAGGCGGCCCACUGGACGUGUAUUGACGCUGAGGUGCGAAAGCGUGGGGAGCAAACAGG
This 253-nucleotide ribosomal RNA is filed under the name uncultured bacterium. Its description in RNAcentral is "partial 16S ribosomal RNA". It matches the Rfam family "Bacterial small subunit ribosomal RNA", at positions 524 to 776 of the family's 1533-position model. The record is from RNAcentral.